RNAcentral lists this ribosomal RNA (571 nucleotides) under Pteroptyx tener. RNAcentral's name for it is "partial large subunit ribosomal RNA". It matches the Rfam family "Bacterial large subunit ribosomal RNA", at positions 1815 to 2662 of the family's 2925-position model. The record is from RNAcentral. Lineage: Eukaryota; Metazoa; Arthropoda; Insecta; Coleoptera; Lampyridae.
ACAUGUCUUUUUGAUUAUAAUUUAAGGUUUAAUCUGCUCAAUGAUUAUUUAAAUUGCCGCAGUAUUUUGACUGUGCAAAGGUAGCAUAAUAAUUAGUUUCUUUAUUGGGAACUGGAAUGAAUGAUUGGACGAGAAAAUUUCUGUCUCUUUAUUAUUUUAAUUGAAUUUUACUUUUAAGUUAAAAGGCUUAAAUUUUAUUAGAGGACGAGAAGACCCUAUAGAGUUUAAUUUUUAUUUAAAUAAUUAUUUUUAGUAUCUAUAUAUAUUAUUUAAAUAAAAAUUUAGUUGGGGUGACUAAAAGAUAAGAAUAACUCUUUUAAUUUUUAUCAAUUAUUUUUGAUUAUAAAAUCUUUAUUUUUAAUUUUAAAAUAAAUUACCUUAGGGAUAACAGCGUAAUUCUUUUUUAAAGUUCUUAUUAAAAGAAGAGUUUGCGACCUCGAUGUUGGAUUAAAAUUAAUUUUAGGUGUAGAAGCUUGAAAAUUAAGUCUGUUCGACUUUUAAAAUUUUACAUGAUCUGAGUUUAAACCGGUGUGAGCCAGGUUGGUUUCUAUCCUUAAUUAUAUAUUAUACU